GUGAGGAAUAUUGGUCAAUGGACGAGAGUCUGAACCAGCCAAGUCGCGUGAAGGAAGACGGUUCUAUGAAUUGUAAACUUCUUUUGUGCAGGAAUAAAGUGGGUUACGUGUAACCUUUUGUAUGUACUGUACGAAUAAGGAUCGGCUAACUCCGUGCCAGCAGCCGCGGUAAUACGGAGGAUCCGAGCGUUAUCCGGAUUUAUUGGGUUUAAAGGGUGCGUAGGUGGAUUGAUAAGUCAGCGGUGAAAGUUUGCAGCUUAACUGUAAAAUUGCCGUUGAAACUGUCGGUCUUGAGUGCAAAUGAGGUAGGCGGAAUGUGUUGUGUAGCGGUGAAAUGCUUAGAUAUAACACAGAACUCCGAUUGCGAAGGCAGCUUCUGGGAUGCAACUGACACUGAUGCACGAAAGCGUGGGUAUCAAACAGGAUUAGAAACCCCUGUAGUCC
RNAcentral lists this ribosomal RNA (444 nucleotides) under uncultured bacterium. Its description in RNAcentral is "partial 16S ribosomal RNA". It matches the Rfam family "Bacterial small subunit ribosomal RNA", at positions 354 to 796 of the family's 1533-position model. The record is from RNAcentral.